CAGAAGCUGCAAUGCUCGAUACGCGAUGAUGUUUCAACCGAUGCAUUAGAAUAGGGAGUUUUACAUCUGAAAGUGGACAUCAUGCCUCCUAGAGGAAGAUGAAAAUUUUCGUGCGAACACCCACCUGUGAGUAGCAGGUUUUGAAACACGUGCGUGCCGACAUCCGCGGCCGAUAC
Molecule: non-coding RNA, 176 nt
Filed under: Pullulanibacillus pueri
Lineage: Bacteria; Bacillati; Bacillota; Bacilli; Caryophanales; Sporolactobacillaceae
Description: 6S / SsrS RNA
Rfam family: 6S / SsrS RNA
About the family: E. coli 6S RNA was the first non coding RNA to be sequenced, but its function was unknown until recently.
Source: Rfam by way of RNAcentral